This 395-nucleotide ribosomal RNA is filed under the name uncultured bacterium. RNAcentral describes it as "bacterial SSU rRNA". It matches the Rfam family "Bacterial small subunit ribosomal RNA", at positions 28 to 405 of the family's 1533-position model. The record is from RNAcentral.
GACGAACGCUGGCGGCGUGCCUAACACAUGCAAGUCGAACGGAACUUCUUUAAAGGAUUUCUUCGGAAUGAAUUUGAUUAAGUUUAGUGGCGGACGGGUGAGUAACGCGUGAGUAACCUGCCUCUGAGAGGGGAAUAACAUUCUGAAAAGAUGCUAAUACCGCAUAAUAUAUAUUUAUCGCAUGGUAGAUAUAUCAAAGAUUUAUCGCUUAGAGAUGGACUCGCGUCCGAUUAGUUAGUUGGUGAGGUAACGGCUCACCAAGACCGCGAUCGGUAGCCGGACUGAGAGGUUGAACGGCCACAUUGGGACUGAGACACGGCCCAGACUCCUACGGGAGGCAGCAGUGGGAAUAUUGCACAAGUGGGGGAAACCCUGAUGCAGCGACGCCGCGUGGA